Molecule: small nuclear RNA, 22 nt
Filed under: Arabidopsis thaliana (thale cress)
Lineage: Eukaryota; Viridiplantae; Streptophyta; Magnoliopsida; Brassicales; Brassicaceae
Description: snRNA_07783
Source: RNAcentral
CCGUUUAAACUAUAAACAUUCG